CCCUUAGAUGUUCUGGGCCGCACGCGUGCUACACUGAGUGGAUCAGCGGGUCAGGUUGCGCGAAAGCGUUUCCUAAUCUUUAAAUCCGCUCGUGAUGGGGAUUGACGGUUGCAAUUUUCAGUCAUGAACGAGGAAUACCUUGUAAGCGCGGGUCAUCAUCCCGCGCUGAAUACGUCCCUGCCCUUUGUACACACCGCCCGUCGCUCCUACCGAUUGAGUGGUCCGGUGAGGCUUUGGGAUCUGAGCGGAAAGAGCGUUUCGCUGUUUCUGCUCGGAAAACUCAGUCGAACCUUAUCAUUUAGAGGAAGGAGAAGUCGUAACA
This 322-nucleotide ribosomal RNA is filed under the name uncultured eukaryote. RNAcentral's name for it is "partial 18S ribosomal RNA". It matches the Rfam family "Eukaryotic small subunit ribosomal RNA", at positions 1470 to 1796 of the family's 1831-position model. The record is from RNAcentral.